UGAACGCUGGCGGCGUGCUUAACACAUGCAAGUCGAACGAGAAAGGGAUUGCUUGCAAUCCUGAGUAGAGUGGCGCACGGGUGAGUAACACGUAGAUAAUCUACCUCCAAGCCCGGGAUAACUAUCCGAAAGGGUAGCUAAUACCGGAUGAAGUGUUUUGACAUAGGUUGAACCAUGAAAGAUUGCCUCUUCUUGAAAGCAAUUGUUUGGAGAUGAGUUUGCGGACCAUUAGUUUGUUGGUGGGGUAACGGCCCACCAAGACUACGAUGGUUAGCUGGUCUGAGAGGAUGAUCAGCCACACUGGAACUGGUACACGGUCCAGACUCCUACGGGAGGCAGCAGUGAGGAAUUUUGCGCAAUGGGGGAAACCCUGACGCAGCAACGCCGCGUGAGUGAAGAAGGCCCUUGGGUCGUAAAGCUCUGUCGACAGGGAAGAAGUUAACAUCAUCCAAUAGGUGUUGUUAUUGACGGUACCUGUAGAGGAAGCACCGGCUAACUCC
RNAcentral lists this ribosomal RNA (500 nucleotides) under uncultured bacterium. RNAcentral's name for it is "bacterial SSU rRNA". It matches the Rfam family "Bacterial small subunit ribosomal RNA", at positions 30 to 504 of the family's 1533-position model. The record is from RNAcentral.